This 240-nucleotide unclassified non-coding RNA is filed under the name soil metagenome. RNAcentral describes it as "partial contains 5.8S ribosomal RNA, internal transcribed spacer 2, and large subunit ribosomal RNA". The record is from RNAcentral.
AACAUCGCGCACCUGCGGGAACCUGCGGAGGGAUCAUUACUGAGUCACGUGCUCAAACAACCCUUCUGUGGACCUGAAAUAAAACCGUUGCCUCGGCGGGCGGUCCCCCCCAAACCAACCCCACGUGGUGGGUUAGGGGAGACCAGACAGUCCGGUACGCUUAAGGCGUCCGGCGCCAGCCGCUGGCCCCAAACAAUUAAACUCUAGUAAUCUUUGCCUUCUGAGUUUCAAUAUUUAAAA